Molecule: long non-coding RNA, 652 nt
Filed under: Mytilus galloprovincialis (Mediterranean mussel)
Lineage: Eukaryota; Metazoa; Mollusca; Bivalvia; Mytilida; Mytilidae
Source: RNAcentral
CCCCCUAUUUGUAUUCAAGAUCUUCCAAAAUUCCUUUGCGUUGCUGUUUUUUAAUGUGUUCAUCUUCUGUCUGAUUUCUUUUUUAUGUUUUUUUUAUGGAUCUAUCUAGUUGUCUCUUAUAAUCUCUCUCUGAUUUUUCAUUUGUUUUCGAUUAUUUUCCGUCUUAAUGGAUUUAUACCUUCUUUUGCGAUACGGAAACAUUUUCUUGUUUUCCAGCAUUCUUUGUUAAACCAUGGCUUGAGUACCUUUUUAUUGUAGUGUUUGUUUCCCCCCUUGUAAUGAGAUCCCAAAACUUUUUCUGCUGAUUCUAGAAUAAUAGCGUUCACCUGUUCAACGACUUUAUUUAUGUUUUCUUUAGCUAGUAUGCUAGUUUCUAGCAUGUUCAACUCUGAUUCUAAUUCCCUUAACUUAUUUCUGUCAAUGCUCUCAACGAAUUCGUUUUCUUUUUCAGUAUCCCAUUUAUUUAUCUUUUUUACAUUUUGAUCAGCGCAUGUUUCUACGUAUAUAUUUUUUAUCUAUAGCUCAAGUUUGUUUAAAUAACAUAGUCAACGAUAAAGGCGAGUGAACAUCAGAGUAUAAUGACGAAAAAUCAUGAACAAGCAUUUCAUUAAUACAGUAUAACAAUGAAUGUGUACAAAUAAAAUAAUCGACA